GGCCAGCAGCCGCGGUAAUACGUAGGGAGCGAGCGUUGUCCGGAUUUAUUGGGCGUAAAGGGCGUGUAGGCGGCCUGUUAAGUCUGAAGUGAAAAUCCAGGGCUCAACCCUGGAACUGCUUCGGAUACUGAUGGGCUUGAGUGCUCUAGAGGGUAGUGGAAUUGCCGGUGUAGCAGUGAAAUGCGUAGAGAUCGGCAGGAACACCAGUGGCGAAGGCGACUGCCUGGGGAGUAACUGACGCUGAGGCGCGAAAGCUGGGGGAGCAAACGGGAUUAGAUACCCCGGUAGUCCCAGCCGUAAACGAUGAGUGCUAGGUGUAGCGGGUAUCGACCCCCGCUGUGCCGCAGUUAACGCAUUAAGCACUCCGCCUGGGGAGUACGGCCGCAAGGUUGAAACUCAAAGGAAUUGACGGGGGCCCGCACA
This 423-nucleotide ribosomal RNA is filed under the name uncultured bacterium. Its description in RNAcentral is "bacterial SSU rRNA". It matches the Rfam family "Bacterial small subunit ribosomal RNA", at positions 506 to 927 of the family's 1533-position model. The record is from RNAcentral.